This is a non-coding RNA of Rattus norvegicus (Norway rat), 12016 nucleotides long. The record is from RefSeq and is a predicted model, not a curated record. Lineage: Eukaryota; Metazoa; Chordata; Mammalia; Rodentia; Muridae.
GCGCCAACAAAGUGCACAUCCUUAGUAUGGGGGGGGGGGAGUAAAAGAAGGCAGAUGAGGAGACACGGGAGAAGUCCCCCGCAGCAAAUAAAAAGUCCACUUUUCUUGAGGUGGGAGGGAGAGAUCCCGAAAUUCGUCGAAGCUGGAACACUGAGGGAUUUCGGACACCGGGGUUUUGAAACAUCAUUUUUUGUAUCAUAACUCUAAAUUGGGGUGGGGGUUCUUGAAACAUCCCCUUCUAGGAUCCAGCCCAACCUUCAAAAAAGUCUACCCCAAACUUGAUUCAGCCACAGCUUGCUUUGGGCGGUGUUGUGGCCAAGACAGGGUCCCCAGCGCAGGCGUUGCAACCGGACCCCGCUCUGGUGCGGGCACAGGUGUCAGCCUGAGCUGGAAUUAUGUAAUGGAUUUGGUGGCCUGGGUUCCUACCAAAGGGAAUUAGAGAGGGCGAGGCUUUCUCUUUUCUUUUCCUUUCGACUACAUCUGGUGUCAGGUAUACGGGAUUUGUGUCAAGCAGGUGUGAUUUGAAGGAAAAGUACACGGGAAAUGGCGGCCAAGCUCAAAGUGCUCUGGAAAGCGGCCAGACAGCCUGCCAUCUCCUCCUCAGCCGCUCACCUGAGGACCUUGCAGGUGCCCUGGAUUCCAAGCAGGAUAAGCAAAUGGGGGGUGUGGAGUGCUGUCCUCCUUGUUAGAAGCUGUGGGGGUUCUAUCCUGAUGCGUUGUGUGAGCUUACUGAACCCCUCCUCUCCUGAGCAUGAGUGUGAGUGUAGAUAAAAAAUUAAAUUGUGUGUGUGUGUGUGUGUGUGUGUGUGUGUAGCAUCCAAAGUGAUGUAAGAUGUAUGUACUCCUUUAAGAGUAUUAUAACUUUAAUAAUCUGUGCAGAGACAAGUCUCUACAUUUAAAUGCAAGAACUGAGUCAGGACCUUUUCUAAGAGGUAAAGUGGCAGGCACAGCCCUGAGUGGAAUAUAUUAUACCAAUUUUGGUGACUAGAGAAGAUUUCCAACAGGGCCAACUGGUGUUUCAUUAGGCAGAAAGGUAGGAGACUUGAAGAAUAAUGACCCCACUCAACAAUCACCAAUCCCUUCUGACACUACUUUGUUGCCAUUCUGAAAUUUGACACCCACAGAUAUUGAAACCUUGGAUAACCAAAGGAAUUAUUUGAGCCUUAAAAAGUCACAUGCUGAAUUAGGGGAGAGGCCCUAAUUUUUUUUAUGAUCAAACAGAAUAGCUUUUAACUGGUGAACAUGAGGCCUAAAUUUGAACUUCUCCAUUGAUUUCUGAAAGGAAUAUUCAUUCAAGGUGAUCAAAAUGGCAGGUUAAAAAAAUAACAGUAAGAGAAUUGUAGCAGAAUAUCCACAUGGUGACCACAGGGCACACAGGGCACAGAGUUGGGUAUGCAGUGGCAAUACACAGGGGGGGCUGUGAAUCCUGGCUCCUUAAUUCAGAUUGGUGAAUUUAGGCAAAAACUCACAGGUUAGAAAGGCUUGGUUCCAUCACAUGAAUGAAGUCCCAUCUCUGUAGACUAUGCCCACUUACAGAGUUCCCGCUAGAAAACAGGCAAUCUCUCUCUGUUGAUAUUUCUAUGACCUCAGAACGCCCUUGAGCUCACUGUUAAUUAUUGUAAGAACUAUCAGCAGUGACUACUUGCAAACUACUUUUCUUACAAGUCUCUGAGAGAUUGGCAGGAAAAGCGUUUCUUGUGGUGGUAAAGGUUCAACUGGCGCCAUUACUAUGCCAUAAUCAGUGUUGCUUGGUAGUGAAUGUUCUGACUUUCCUGGCUGUGGCGAAAGCCAUUGUUUUUUACAGGAGCUAUCAGUGAGAAGAAUGCAGCAGCACUCCAUAGCUAUCUCUACUUGGGGGCAAGCUUGACUCUCUACAUGAACCUCAACUGUAGGUCUUUUAGGCCAGUGGAAUAUUCUGUAGCGACAGGGGAGAACAGUCUAACAUAAAAACUGUCUGGUCAGUGACAGGAUUUGGAGAGAGAAAGCCUUUUCCUCUUCUUCCCCCUCUUCCUCACAGAAUCAGGCCACAUUUCCAAGUCUCUCAUGGAAGCCAUGCUCCCAGCGCCAGCAGCAGACUGCCAGACACACCUUGGGGCUUUACUGACUUCCUCCCAAACAGUUCUGCAGCUUGCCAACAGGCGGGUUGUGUGAGAUGUCAGCCGCUAUCUGGUGUCUACUGUAAGCUGUCUGGCCCAUUUUGGGAGUGUGCACAAGCAACUCUGACAAUGUAUACCAGUUGAGUAGAAGAACUGGAGUGCAAUUUAUGAAGUUGUCUAUCUCAGGUAUAAGGAGAGGUUUUGCAAGCUGUGGGGACUUUCUUAAACCCAGCCGCAGGCACCUGUGGGCUUUCUCUAUGUCUUAAACAUCUGCAAUCUAAACCUGUGAUUGUCACACCCUUUUACCUCCUGUGUGAGUGUCUCAUAAUUUCAAACAAAGACAGCCAAACAUCUACAAUUAGUAUUCAACAAGCAAGGGUGGUUAAUUAUUGCUCAACUGUUAAAUGACACACAAUAAAGGCUCUCUCUGGCCUGUCAUUGUACUGUAGUCUGAAUGUUGUUCUUAUACAAACACUCACUUCACAAUGUUUAGGAGAUGCUGUGGGAUGCAGAACUUUUAUCCACAGACACCGGAUCCAUAUCAGUGCAGCAUUAUGAAGCAUCUGGGGGGCACCGCUGUGGCUGGGAUGUUUGUUCUUGGCACCGAGAUGCAAGGGCACAGGCUGGGCUCUUUGCUCUUCGUUUGUUUUCCUAUUGCUGCUCUCCAAGAGAAUCUUGGAAAUCCCAGUCAGAGCGGUGAAAUAUGACCUCCGCUUUAUAGAGUUCCUAGUCAGCUCAUUCUGCUCAAGGGAAAUAUUUUUAUUUGCCUUCGAUUAACAUAAUUUUUCAAAGAACAACUUCGUUUUCCAUUUUACUUUAAGUCCAUGGUAGGCAUAAAUUAGCCACAUCCUUGUUAUUCUGAAAUAAAGUUUGGAGGCAAGUGAGUCCUUAUACCAGAUGCUGAACAAAAUAAUGUCCAGGAAGUUCUUCCUGCCCUAGCAUAGGUGCAUAAAGUACAACAGUAGUCUGUCAACUAAGUGUGAAAACCCCUUAGUGUUGCGAUCCAUUUGGUAGUCUCACUGUAAUGGCAGAAACGAGAUGGUUACCGCGACACCAUUGCUAUUAUUGAAAUUAAACAGCUUUGGGAGAAUAUAAUUGCUAAUAAAAGGCUUCUUCUCCACGCCCCUUAAGGGUUCCCUCCCCCACUCUGACAUUUUAUGAUGUGCCAUUCAGAUGAAUGUACGUAGAGUUAUGUGGAACCUAGCGGCCUACUGUACAAGGUCGGAUCUAGAGAUCAGCAAGGAAGUGAAGAUGGGGAGCUCACUGUAUUUAGGGAUGGUUGUCUGGGAAAACGCACUCGUGUGUUUAGAUAUCGAUGUUUAAACUUUUUCUCUUUAUGAAUGCGUCACAAUUUUUCAAACCGAUCGCGUGCACCCUCCGUGGUACCCCCGUGUCUGUGCAUUAAAGGCGUCCAUGAAAUCAUUGUACGGGGCUGGUUUAGUGCGUUUAACAGAGAACUAAUGGGUUGUCUGUGUCGGGGAAAGCAAGGUCCUAUUUUUAAUCCCAUCACGUACUGAAGCGGUUUUGUGUGGAUCUGUGGCUUCCACCUUUAUCCAUCCUGGUAGUUCCUACUGAAGAAAAUCCAAACGCUCCCAGCUUCGGACGGGUGCCAAAAUGUCCUGCUUUCUGCACUACUGAUCGCUUUUUAUUUUCAGCUUAUUUUCGUCUUACUUAACAAUAAUAAAUGACCCUUGCAGUGUAAAACCUUAGUUUAAAUGAUCCGGGGAGCUCCUGUGUCUUUUUUCUUUUUACUUCGAAAUGUUAUGUCAAAUACUCGAUACGUUUAACUUGCUCGUAUCUCCAAGAAACUGGAGACCAAAGCUACUUUUGUGCUGGAUUUUACCUUCUUUCUUGCCCAGAACGUGCGCUGCGCGCGUAAAUACACACACGCGCUGCGCUCAUGCGUGAGCACAAACAUACACAUACACACACACACACACACGCACACACACACACACACACACACACACGGGGGGGGAGAGAGAGAGAGAGAGAGAGAGAGAGAGAGAGAGAGAGAGAGAGAGAGAGAGAGAGAGAGAAAGCAAAAAAAGAGGAAGGUGCUUAGAAGAGGCAGGGAUGCCCGGUGAAAAGCAGAGAGUCGGGGAUCCGGCUUAACCCAGGCAUUUGGGAAGGGGGGCUGGAGGUGGAACACGACUCAACGGACCGCAGCCGCUCUGGCUAGGGCGGUAGAGCGCCAGGGUGAGAGGGUGAGGAUGCCCUGCGGGCUUCCGCACUACUCUGACACCAAACAGAAUGGCUAGGCUCCGGUGGUGAAGUAAAAGUUCCCGGUGGCGUGAAGGCGGUGGAUAGCCACCUUGCCCGUGCACGGAGGCUGUCUGGGGAAGCGGCCUCGAGGGCUGGAUGGACUGGGUGGAAGCCCUCGCAGGGGGUCCUACGGCUCUAGCUUUUGUACCGCCCCGCCUAGGCCAGUCCGGAGCUGACGCACCAGCUCCCCAGAGACGCUGGGGGCGUCGCACUGCAGCUGGGUGGGGAGCAAUUUAUUCCUGGCGGUCACAUCCCACCCCAUCUUCUGUUACUCCACCCUACCCUCCCAUCCCUCCACCUCUUCCUCCUCCUUUUCUACCAACGCCCGCACUAUCUUCUGGUUCUUCUCCUCCUCACCCUCCACUCCCCCUCUCUCCCUUCUUUUCUUUUCUCCCUUCCCCUCCCCCUCUUCUGAAUAACCAAGCUGUUUUGCCUCCGAAAGGGGAGAGAGAGAGAGAGAGAGAGAGAGAGAGAGAGAGAGAGAGAGAGAGAGAGAGAGAGAGAGAGAGAGGCCUGCGGUGACUGGAAGACAGGAGGGAAUCUGGAUCUGGUACAUCUGGGAAGUGGAAACUUGAUGCUUCUGGGCGGUGAUUUGCCAAGGCCUCGCCAAAGGAAGGCUUUCAUUUUUCAAGAAGAAACUUUAAUACACAGCAAGAUAUAAGGCUCAUUGAGAAGGAAUGACAUAAGAAUAGGACUCUGUCGUAGUCAGCAUCAGCAGCGUUACUUUAGUCCUGGACACACAAGCAUAUGCAUAUGUCACCGAACAUGCUCCUAUCCACUUUUGAGAAAAUUAGAACAAAAACCGCAUUUAUAAAAAUGAGCUAGUCUUCUUGAACGUUUGAGAGACAUUUUUAAAUAAAAAAGAACAUAGAAAAAUUUUAAUCUUCUGCUUUUAGGGAAACUAAGAGCUUCCUGUUUUAUUUAAAGAAAAAUGAAAUUGGGAAACUUUUGCAAUUGUUCAAAAUGAAGACCAUAACUUGACUAUACCAAGGCUUCUCCCCCACGUGUGUUAGAUGUGUUAGACCCUUGUUCCAUUCAGUACUCUACAGACAAGAGCAUUUGAUAGGAAGUCUCGACCUUUGAUUAACAGGUGCAUUUAUUGUAUUAAAAACUGGGAUUUGUUAAUAAGUGAUAUUUUAAAUUGAAACCUCAAAGAAUUCAGCUAGUUCAAAUGCUCCAGUGUUCUACAAGGAAGGCAUCUGCCCUACUAUUUGAACUGGUUAGUAUCUGGACCAUAGUAGGGUUUCAGAGGCUCCUGCCUCCUCAGAACCUGGUACAAGAAAAGGAAACACAGAGUGGGAGGGGAUGCUGGGUCCCCUCCCUCCUCUACUCACUGCCAGGACCACCUGCACCCACCACAUCUUCUAAAGGAAAUGGCCAUUUGGUUUUAUGGGGAAAACCCAUAAGACAAAGUCUAGCACACACACAUUGCAGUCAGACGUAUAUUACACAAAGUGCAUAUUCUUUAACGUAUCUACUUUGCUAUACACGCUGUGUGUGUGUGUGUGUGUGUGUGUGUGUGUGUGUGUGUGUGUGUGUGUAGAUCUCAAAACAUCACCCUCUCUCUAAGUUUCCCCUAAUUUGGGGAGUUAAUAAUAUCAUAGUUCUUAAUGAAAGAAAGGCUGUCAAUUUCUGGGUGAAGUGAGGUACAAUAAAGGUGCACAUGCCAUCCAGAAGGACUUAAGCAAUUGGCAGGCCUGCGGUGCCAGGCAUCUGCAAAGAUACAGUCUUCAUUUGUCGCUGGAAAGAUAUGAGGGUGAAGGGGACUGUAAUAUAAACCCAAGCAAACUAGGAUUUCGACAUUCACCUGGGUCUCCCUUAGGCUGUGGUCAACAGCAUUUGCAGGUCCCUAGGCUUCCAGAAGAAAGGAUUUUCGACUAGAGGUUUUGUGUGUUGCCUGUGCAAUCAGGUCCCUUCUGUAGGCCCCCUAGGGCCAUCUUGAAGCUAUAUAGCUUUUCCUUUCUUUGUACAGUAAUGGCUAUAGAAGUCCCGAGAGUCUUGAACAUAAAGCUCUUGAAGCCCCCUAUGUCCAGAGAAUUCUGGUUCUCCCAGGCCAGGGCCGCUCCGACGACCCCAAGCGUGGUGCUCAAGAGGCCAGUAGGUGUCGCUGUUUCCCUGCUGGCAGGAGCCUGGAGCCCGACGUUGGCCCCUAGCACCACUCAGUUUUCUGGCCCGGGUGAUUUCCUAGACGCCUUUCAGCUCUGGGAUUGUGGCAGUUCCCUUAUUUUGUUUCUAGAACCCUUGUCUAGUCCUCUUGGCUGCGACCACAGCACCAGUGGUCGGUCUAUGGAGAGAGACAGGAGAGACGAAUUUGGUGGGGCCCAAAGGCCGCCCUAAUUGAAAAAACAGAAAGCCCGCUUCACCUGCUCGCUCUCUCCUUUCUCUUCACAAGCCUAGAGUGGCAUCGGAGCUAUCGGGAGCAGAUUGAUAAAACCCUAAAUUAAGGAAUUCAGACACGGUUGUACUUCGAAUUAGAAAAUUAAGAAAAAAUAAGAGGUUCAAAAUCUAGCUUCGCAGGAAUCGCUCACAGAGUUUUAAUAUUCCUUAUCUCAAAAGACAAGGAUGGAGGAGAAAGGGAGGAAGGGAGGGAGGGAGAGAGGGAGAGAGCUCCGGGGAGAGAGAGAGAGAGAGAGAGAGAGAGAGAGAGAGAGAGAGAGAGAGAGAGAGAGAGAGAGAACAAGCUAGGCCUGGACUUUGAGUUACCUAUGGUCUUACCCACAUAUCUGUAUGCAGAAUGUCGGGUGAUUGCAGGGCCUCCCUUUUUGCUCUGGUCCAGAAAGGAAAUUUUGAACUACACUAGUCUUCCUCACCAUCCUCCCCGAAGCAUUGCUUACUAAGUAUUAAUCUCCAUUGGAUAGUAUUAGCUCAUCUUUGGAAUCGGUACUAAAAUUCUAGGUAUUGAAAAUUGUGUUCCUUUCUCUGAUGUCUGUGGUCCCCUGUCUUUGGUUCAAUAUGCCGCGUAAGCGAUUAUUAAACAGAGGCAUUCUUUUUGUGUGUGUGUGUGGUGGGGAGGUAUUUGGCUUGCAGAUUCCACGGGACAUUUACAAUGGUUACAUCCUAUAGACGGCUGGUUUUAUUGAGAUUAGGAUUUCUUUGCAUAGGGAAAUCCUCUGGUUAAAAGGUGGCAAGGGGAAAUGGCAAGAAACACCCUAAAUUCACAAUCUUGUGCAUUCGCAAGAGGUAGUGUGGAGAUAGAACUAGCUCUCCAUUUAAUUUGAUUGUAAAACAAUAUCUUCCAUCGAGAGGUUGCUGUGUGACUGGAAAAAAAAGACUUAUACUACUGCAUUUUUGUGUAAAAGUUAAACAUUCGUAGAGAGGAAAACUCUAACAAAUAUAAAACUAGUAGAUAGGGGAAAAUCUCAUUUAAAAUUCCAAGUAUGUUCGAAUAAUUUUGUUCUGGUGUCAAGAUUGAGGCCUUAUCACUUCUGGACCCGUAGCGCAAGAGGUUGCAAAUUCACAGAGAGGCUGACUUUUUAGCAAGAGUUCAUAAAUAUCUUCAUUAAACGUCAUGCCUUUUGCUAUGCUUCUUACAGUCGGCUUCUUUCUCUAAAGUCAUGUCUUUUUACACAAUUUUUAAAAAAAUCAUUUCUGAUCGAGACAGCAGAUUCAUCUCUGGGGGUGGGGUAGGACGGACACGUUUCUAAUUGGAGGUUGUGAAGUUCAAUGAGAUGGUAUUUUUAGCUCGAAAUGCUCAGAUUCGUGUCUUUUUAUAUUUUCCCUGUCUCAUCCUGUCCGUUUUCCGUUUCACUCAACUCUUUCAUUUUCCUCUUUCCUGCCUGUCUUCCUUCCUCCCUCUAGAGCGCCUCUUCCACUUCCUUCGCUUCUUCUGUUUCCUGCUUCUUUCUCUCUCCCGCUCUCUUUCUUGUAUAACUUAUUGUUUGAUUCUAUCAGUCAAGUUAAUAUGAAAAUAGCAAGUGGGAGGCCCAGCACCUUAAUCUGGCCUCUCCCCUACGCAUUAGGCAUUAGGGACUUUAGGGAGGUGUCCGUAGCUACCAGGUUAUAGACCAGCGCGCUGGCCCUAGGUGCAGAGCACGCUGCUGGUGGAGGAGUUGGGGUCCGCCUAGGGUUGCGGGGCUUAUUCAAAUACCGCCUGCUGCUGCUGUGAUUCGCAGGGACUCGGCCUCCAUAUGGUAAUGCGGGGCGGGGGUGGGGUGGGGUGGAGGGAGGCACAGAGGGGAGGGGAGGAGAGGAUGGGGUUGAGGGCGGGAGGGAGGGGGCUCCGACACCGCGCGCUCUGCUGCUGUGCUGGGACAGAGCACCGGGACCCGCGGCAGCGGCGGCAGCGGCGCUACCCACCCUCCUUCGCAGCACUCUUCGAGCCAGGAAGCCACCAAGCCAUGGGCCCUCGGGACGCCUAAAGGAGCCUGUUUGUGUGCUGUGGCCACGUUCUGCUGUGACUGGAUCUUGUCUUCUGCCUGGGUCCUCGAUUUCCGUCCGGCUGAAUUUGGGGACAACACUGCUUGGCGCAGACAGAUCAAAUGAGACUUCAAAGAAGCAUAUCCUGAACAAGCUAUUCAAUCAACCAAAGGCCGGGGCAGCAGUACGCCAGCAAGACGCAUCUUCUCCCCGCCUAGAAGUCCUGAGAAAUCGAGGAUCUCUCCUAAAACAUUCAUAUACAAGAUAUGUGCAAUCAAGCUUCCAGCACUUGGUACAAAGCUCAUGAUGCCUAACCCAGUGAUCCGGAGCAGAUCUUUGAAUCAGCUGUCACUUCUAUAGAAUGGGAUUUUCCCCUUCUUCCUCUUUAACCAGCGUUGGAAACUGCCUAUGGCUUUACACAUCUCAGUAGAGGAAGGCUAAAGAAUCUUACGUGAGAAUGAAGCAAUUUACAAUGCAAAUAGAGGCCUGUGAAGAGCUGGACGCUGCUGCUCUACCCCCAACAGCUUGCUGCACCUUAGUCGCUGGUCUUAUUUUCCGAUACUAAUAGAUGAAUUGUUGGCUAACGAUGCUGGAGAUUACUUGCUGGAAGGGGAAAGAAAAAGUUUGGAAUAAAUUCUGAAUGCAACAGAUCUCAUUUGGAUGUUCUAGACGCAUACACCCAGACAGAAACCAGGUCAUGUUUACAUGAAAGGAGAAUCUUAAACGCGGCGAAUAUCCUUCCCUGAGGACUAUGCUUCCCCCAAACCAACGAGGAUCCGGAUCUGGAGUCCAGCCAGAGGAAGACAGCCUUGUGAGGGAAGCGAGUUGUUAUCUUUGGUUAUCUAGCUGUAUGAGUGUAUUGGUCUUCAUAAAGCUAGAUAACCGAAAGUAAAAACUCCUUCAAGAUCACCGAGGAGUGCUCCGGAAAGAAAGACUACAGUCAAGAGACAGUAAAAACCAGAAAGGUCAGGAAUGCUUAUUGAAUCUAACUUUUUUUUUCUUAUGGUUGAAAGUGGGAUGCAAGGAAACUUAAGUGACACAUAUACUGAAAUCCUAAGGGGCCAGGUUUUGAGGGGGUUGUACAACUGGAGAGGAGAAUUGUGUAGUAUUUUUAUGGGCGAAGAUGCAUGUAUUUUCUAUAUUGUUCUAUUUUGAAGCAAACGUUUACUUAUGGGAUUUUUUUUCUUAGAAAGCUGUUAUAGCGAUGCCUGGUACCUCGUUUUAAAAAAUGAUUUCAUAAUUAUGUAGAUUGGGCAGUUCCCAUCUGAGGCUCCUCCCCCAAGUUUGAAGCUUGUGCCUGGAAACUUUCUAUGUAUUUGGUGUGUACAUCAAAUUCUGUGAAGUUAGACUUUCAGAAAGCUUAUACUGGGAGGUUAAUAAUUUAUCUCUACCGAGGACUUAGAGCUAGAAGGGAAAAGGGGUGGGGGCAAAGGCUGAUUUUUAUUCUUCUAUUCAAAAUACAAGGACAGAUGCUUCUCUGUUCCAAGAGGGUUUCCUUGAGGAAGCUACUGAAGCAGAAAGACAUGAUGGAGACGAGAUCGCCUCCCCUCUUGUCAAAGUGUUAAAAAAAUGUUCUGUCUUACUCUGCGCCUAGCAUUGGAAAUGAAAGUGACAUUUACGCCACAACCCACGUGUGCGCCUCCUCUCUUUUUGUUUAAGGAUGAUCAGGUCUAUCCAGGAAACAGCUCUGGCAUCCCAAACUGAAAUAAUUAGGACGUAUAUAGACCUGACAAAAAUGGAAGGGGGUGGGGAAUCUGAGGGUCUGUCUUGCCUAAUUGAUUCCGCUAAACGGAAAGCAGGAGAUGUGAACGGCAGGACGCUCCGAUUCCCACGCUCGGGGGCAAGUGGUAAAGCCUGGCCGGCAGCCUAUGACAGACAGCCCUGUUGGGGGGUAGGGGGAUGAAAAAAACAUCAAGCGCACACACACCAUACUCAUCUCCAUCCUUAAGAAAGUAAAGGCAUUUCCCACCCACAGCCAUCUGCAGCCUUCCAAAUGGCAACACCAACUGGUUGGUGACUGCUACGCGUACUGUCUCUGUUAUUUUUUUUUAAACCUCUGUUUAAUCUGGCCAUGAUUAAAUUUGGUUUUCUCCUUUGGUUGAAAUUUUCAUUAUUUAAGGAAAGCAAGUGCCAAGACCAUCCCAGGACUGCAUGCCCUCCUCAGAGAAGUCCUCGGUAUGUGGUUAGGGCCUGUGACCACCUUUGGCUUUUGUUUUGGCUGUGUUAUAUUUAAAAGUCACAUCUCAUAGCCCUCCUUACUAUGACUUACUUCAUUGGGUUGUUUACUUCCUUGUGUGACACACAAGGACUUGACCUACUGAUGCUGAUCUACAUUCUGAAAAUAAAGCUGGAAAGGCAUCAGCCUAUAGAAAGUUGGUUGCAACCACAGUAUGUUAAAGAACUUGUUUUAAAAUAGUCCUAGCAGAAUGUGCUUUUUUUCUUUUCUUCCUCCUCCUCCUCCUCCUCUCCCUCCUCCUCCUCCUCCCUCUUCACCUAAAAGUAACUAGUCCCAGCAUAAACUUUGAGGUUUUGAGGAACCAUGGUAGUCCUUUUUUGAAAUUCCUUAUAUUCUGUUACAUUUUAUCAGGCAAACAUUUGUAUAGGCAUUUGCACAUAAAUAUAAGGAUGGCAAUGAAAAAAAAAUCCCCAAACUGCCUGUUAUCUUCCACAUGGCCUAAAUUACUGAGACUCCCAAAUGCAUACUUUUUCUUCAGGGACAGUACAUUUUUCUUUACAGCUUCAACCUCUUACAGGGUUGAGACUAGAGGAACCAGUAAAGCCACUGGUACUCCCAUUUAGAAAAGCCAAGAGACUUUAAUAACGUAAAUUCUCAAUUUGGCUGCUGAACAUGUGCCAAAGUUUUACGGCUGUAGUGACUGUCGAGAAGACCCUUGUUUAUUUACCUUUAAAGCACUGUUUGUGCAAACAAGCCUUCAUUGUUAAGUGCCUGUAUUCCUUUCAUUUGCUUCUUGUCCAGGGGUGCUAUUUACCUAGAACCAUUGUCUACUACAAUUAACAUUUACAUUACAAAGUGUGUGCUUUUCCUUCUCAAGGAGGUUCAAUUAAGGCAAUAAGAUGUUUGCUGGGGAAACCUAUUGUUUACUCAAAGCACUCAAUGGGGUCAAAUUACUGAAGUUUUUGCCUACAUCUUGGGUUGUUUAUGUAAAUAUGUUAACUAUAACAUCUAAGGAAAAUAAACAAUAUUAAAAUUAUGUGUUCGCCAUUGUCAUAUCCAACUUGCUUUGUAUCAUACUAAUGUUACAUAACUUAUCGAUCAAUAAAAAUACAUUUCAAUGUUA